UAUAAUAUGUGUGACGAACAUAAUGCUGCAAAAGCCAAGAGGUACCUGCAGGCGUGGAUCCAGAUGGCUAUAAGGAGCUUUAGCCCUAUAUUUAGUAAUGUUAUAAUGUAGCUAUAUGUGUGAUAACUAUUAUUGUAAUGUUAUCUAUAUAAUAUCACACUAGCAUAGAUGUCAAUUUAUUAUGUCUAAAAUUGGAAUUGGAUUUUUCUGGAAGAUUUCAGAUUCCUAGAUCUGCGCUUGAGAGUUGCAUAACGUCUUUUGGAAAUGACGCGCUGCCGCUCAUCGUCGAAGCGUCUCCUACGGUCGUCGCAGAUACCUGAACCAGUCGCUGCCGCUGCCGUCUUGUGUUCGCUGUUGCUUCUUCUUGUGUACAUCCCGUCCACCAGAUCCUUUAGCAUUU
Diuraphis noxia (Russian wheat aphid) is the source of this 400-nucleotide long non-coding RNA. The record is from RefSeq and is a predicted model, not a curated record. NCBI's taxonomy places the organism in Eukaryota, Metazoa, Arthropoda, Insecta, Hemiptera, Aphididae.